UACGGAAGGCAGCAGUGGGGAAUAUUGGACAAUGGGCGAAAGCCUGAUCCAGCCAUGCCGCAUGAGUGAAGAAGGCCUUCGGGUUGUAAAGCUCUUUUAGUGAGAAAGAUAAUGACGGUACUCACAGAAGAAGUCCUGGCUAACUCCGUGCCAGCAGCCGCGGUAAUACGGAGGGUGCGAGCGUUAAUCGGAAUUACUGGGCGUAAAGGGCACGCAGGCGGUUAAUAAGUUGGAUGUGAAAUCCCCGGGCUUAACCUGGGAAUGGCAUUCAAGACUGGUUAGCUAGAGUCUUGUAGAGGGGGUAGAAUUCCAUGUGUAGCGGUGAAAUGCGUAGAGAUGUGGAGGAAUACCGGUGGCGAAGGCGGCCCCUGGACAAAGCUGACGCUCAUGUGCGAAAGCGUGGGGAGCAAACAGGGAUUAGAUACC
RNAcentral lists this ribosomal RNA (426 nucleotides) under uncultured bacterium. Its description in RNAcentral is "bacterial SSU rRNA". It matches the Rfam family "Bacterial small subunit ribosomal RNA", at positions 340 to 786 of the family's 1533-position model. The record is from RNAcentral.